GCUCUGGCUGAGGCUGCCUCCUGUCCUCACAGAGCAGGAGCUGUCAGUUGGUUGGAGAGAGGUGGUGUUCGGCACUGGUGAAAGAAAGAGUCGACUUGGACUUUUGGGAGCUGUUGGACCCCGACACUAUGACCUAGUCUUUUUAUUGAGAGUCUUUUGGAGUGCCACAAACAUGAGCUGUAUCCGGAUGCCGCUCUUCUUCUGAAGCUGGUGAGCUGUGAUCUGGGCAGGAGGGAGGGAAAGGAGGCUGUCCCAGUCCCAUGCCCUCUCAAGGACACUCAGCUCCGUGGGACAGGAUGGAAGGCACAAGCCUCAACCAGCCCAUGUCCAGACCUGCAGAUGAUGACACUAUGAAAUGGAGCCUCACCCCCACUGCUUCAAGGUUUAGUCCCCUCACCCCUCGGGAGAUCUCAUACCCCUCAAUUUAGCCAGUUCUAGGGAGUUUGUGCAUUUUUCUUAAGACUAGAUGUAGAGCCAGGGUGAAGGUGUAUGCCUAUAAUCCCAGGACUCUGGAGGCUUAGUCAGGAGACUAGCCAUAAAUUCAAGGCCAGCCUGGGCUAUAUAAGGAGCAGUAGUCUAGCUUUGGUGACACUGUGAUAUCUCUCUCUCUCUAAAACACAGAAAUCGAACAACAGGACUAGUUCUCUAUGUGCCUUGCAUGCACACUGGUUCUUGGCCCUGGGUUCUUGUCCAGCAUAAAAUAAAACCAGGUGGAGCAUGCUGGGAAUCCCAGUUUUGGAGGGUGGAGACAAGAGGAUCAGGCGGUCAAGGUCAUCUUCCAACAUAGAGAGUUGGAGGUCCGUCUAGGAGGAAUGACACUCUAUUUUAAAAGCAAACAACCCCUACCCCCAAAUCUUAAUGCCCAAAUCUCAGAAAACAGUGACAUGGCAGCCCAUAACAACCACCUAUUCCAUGUGAUUCAGACCUUUCUGAUAGAGAGAAGAAAGUCGGCCAUCUAGAUGUGCAGUGCAGUAAUUUUUUUCCCUGUGACUCACAUCUGGAAUUGGCCUCAGCAUUGAGUUCAUCCCCUAUGCACAGCACUGAAGAGCUAUUCAACAAGUACUUCCUGCUGUUAAGGCUCAGCGGGCCUUGUCUGUCAAGUGAUAGUACCUCAUUCAUCAUGGUGUGAGAAAUC
Peromyscus eremicus (cactus mouse) is the source of this 1135-nucleotide long non-coding RNA. RefSeq lists it as uncharacterized. The transcript is spliced from 3 exons. The record is from RefSeq and is a predicted model, not a curated record. Lineage: Eukaryota; Metazoa; Chordata; Mammalia; Rodentia; Cricetidae.